This 234-nucleotide ribosomal RNA is filed under the name uncultured bacterium. Its description in RNAcentral is "partial 16S ribosomal RNA". It matches the Rfam family "Bacterial small subunit ribosomal RNA", at positions 118 to 351 of the family's 1533-position model. The record is from RNAcentral.
UGAGUAACCUGCCCUUAACUCUGGGAUAAGCCUGGGAAACUGGGUCUAAUACCGGAUAUGACUCCUCAUCGCAUGGUGGGGGGUGGAAAGCUUUAUUGUGGUUUUGGAUGGACUCGCGGCCUAUCAGCUUGUUGGUGAGGUAAUGGCUCACCAAGGCGACGACGGGUAGCCGGUCUGAGAGGACGACCAGCCACACUGGAACUGAGAUACGGUCCAGACUCCUACGGGAGGCAG